GACACAUCGCUCGGUACUCACACUCCACUCUCAGUGGAGAUAGCCUUUGGCAAGUCUUCAGUAGCAUCGACCAUCGCCUCCACUCCCUGCCCGAGUCCUGGCCGCCGGCUCCCAGGGCCACCCCCUCACCGGCUUCCCCACGACCGGCGCAAGGAGAUCCCCCCGCCCCUGCGUCCCGCCGCUGCAGCGAGUUCUACCUCUCUCAUGUCUCCUUACCGCUACAGCAAGAACCAGACCUUCCCCUGCCUCCCUACCGCUGCAGCGAGUUCUGUUCAGCAAACAUCACGCCCGCAACCCGGUUGAUGGAUCCACAACACCGGAAUCCUCCUCCUGCGCGAAAAACCUAUGAACCGGAGUAAGUGCAGACGGACGCUGGUGUGCUCCGACGGGCAGUGUUGCAACCAUCCAGCAAUGGAUGGUCGACGUCCCUCCCCACCUCGCUCGCCGUGGCCUAUCGGAGAAUCCCGCCCGGCAAAUCGCUCGUAUCCUACUGCUUCCGCGCCUCUCCAACAGGUCUGCAUCUCUACAAGAACUCCCUGAAGGUGCUGAUGAUGGAGUUGUAAACUUUUUCGCCGAUGCUGACAUACUUGCAUAUAUCCCGACUGGCCAAAUGACCUCGGUGAGAAACCUAUGGAGGUUUGUUUCAUAGUGGAUGUAUGCUGCGGAGUCUGCUAAGGCUUCAGGGAAUGAUAAUUUCAGGUUAAUUCUAACUUGGCUAAGCUCCACCUUUUUUAUAAGGAACGGGUCCUCACCCAGCCACACACAAUGGAGCUGGCAGCCUGAGCUCUGCAACAUCAGGAAUGUCCAACUGCAAAAUGAGCUUCUGGGUUCUCAUCAUGGACAACCGAGCGUGCAAUCUCAUGCAGCUGGUGCAAGUAUUUUUCUUGAAGUAAUGUGAGUUCUCCCUCUAGAGAAAAUGGUAAUUGUUCCAUCAGUGUCUUCUGUCUACCAUGAGUAUGCAAUGAAAAACCAAAAUACCAGUGUUUAUCUUCAGGGAGGAGAGGCUAAAUAUCUGCACAUGCAACAGAAAUUACAAAAUUAUAUUAGAAGUUCUUGAAUAAAUAGGUUCUGCCUCUCACAAAAAGUUAUACUGUGAGGAGAACCAAAAUUUGAUCAAGCUAUAAGUACUACUUGGAAAAAGAAGGUUUCUAUAGUCAGUCAAAAAUAUCCAUGGACUACAAUGAUAAACUUGUAUGGGAACCUGGACAUCACACAAUUAUGGAAACAUGAACUAAAUUCAUUUUAUUCUGAAGCUUGUGCGCUGCUAUGCUGCUUUGCUCUUGCCUCCCUGACAACUCAUGGUCCUUAGUUUCAUCCUAUUUUCUGAAAUGUCUACUGGACUGCUUUAUUUAUAUUAUGAAAUUCUCCUACCUCCUAACGAAUUUAAAGAAACACAUGCACGUAAUGUAUGCAGCAAGGAGUAUUUACAUAGCCUAUUUUGUUGCAUGCAAUGUUAAGGACCAUGACCAUGCACACAAAAUUGUUGAUCUGGUACUAUCCUGUUACAGCUUCGAAAGUAGACAUCACCUACUUCCUUAAUACUUCGUUAUACCUGAAAAGUAUCUUAUUUAUCAUUGUUAUCCCUGGACACUAAACCAAUUAGUCAGGGAAGAGAAGUGUUAGGACGAUUAUGCUACUUUUCUAAGCUGUAGCUACUGGAUUCAAGCGUUUACAUAGCUGAACUCAUGUUAUAGAGGUACCAAGAAUGCAUUAGAGGACUCACAUUUUUGUCAGCUAGGAUGGCGUGGUAAAUAAGAUCUCCCAUCCGAGUCACUUUAAUUCGCGCGGUCACAAUUUUCGCGAUCGUCACCCAACCAUGGCUUCAACAAAUGUGAAACUAACAUGCCUGAGAAAUGAGAAGAACACAUGUAUCAGUCAAACUAACAAAUGGAAUCUUUGAUGAGUAUAGUGUAGAAAGAAGAAGUUACAAGUGGGGAUUCCAGGCGAAGCGAGAGUACGGCCUUGGUGCUAUUAUUCUCUUCGAGCAGGCGCAUCCGAGGCUAAGUUGUACUGCCAUGGUUAGUCCGUAAGGUUGAGAUUGCUUGCAUCAAUAUUCUGCUCAAUUCUGGCCCGAGCUUUUGUACAUCAAAUAUUCUUUCUAGGCGUAAUAUUCUGCCAUUAUCCUGCUUUUGUACAUCAAAUAUUCUACCUGGGCGCAAUUCACGUCCUUAUUAACCUUGAUUCCAUGUUUCUUCA
Non-coding RNA from Lolium perenne, 2196 nucleotides. NCBI's taxonomy places the organism in Eukaryota, Viridiplantae, Streptophyta, Magnoliopsida, Poales, Poaceae. The record is from RefSeq and is a predicted model, not a curated record.